AAUGUACUACUGAAGAGUGGCGCAGUAUUCUAGUCAGCCCGCCACCUCUGAAGGCGGGCCUAAAAAUCCGCUAAAGGGCACAUCGAUGAAGUUCUUGGUGUUGGCUUGUGGCGCCCAGCUAUGGGCUGAUGCUGAGAGUUAAGGUUGAAGGGCGAUCCGCAAUGGCAUGCGGGCGUUGACCCUUCUUCCGCGGAGGCCCAAUGUUCGUCGUGUACGCUCUCAUGCGGGAACGACGGCUUGGGGUAUGAACCUGCAUCUCGGGAUCAACUGGGUGUAGCGUAGCCUGCCUUGAGUGGCAGGGUGGGGAUACCGUUCUCCGCUUCAAAGCGGAUCGCGGUUGAAAGCUCUGUUGCAAAAGAGGCUAGGAGACUGGAACGGGCUGUUGAGGAAAACUCCUAGACUGUUUGCCGAAAAAGGCAUGGCCAUCUAGGGAUUAAAGUGCGGACUGAGUGGCAGUCCAGUCCGGCAUUCGGUGACGGUGCCGAGAGGGGUUGUAAAGGGAAACCGCCAGAUCGGCGACGAUCGGGAUACCCCUUUGGGAAAGCCUACUGGACCUAAGCCGCAGAGUUUACCUAGGUUGUCGCCACUCUUCUCACAUAUAGG
Non-coding RNA from Thermoactinomyces vulgaris, 603 nucleotides. NCBI's taxonomy places the organism in Bacteria, Bacillati, Bacillota, Bacilli, Caryophanales, Thermoactinomycetaceae. The record is from Rfam.